GGCUACACACGUGCUACAAUGGGUAGAACAGAGAGUCGCAAAGCUGUGAAGUGGAGCUAAUCUCAGAAAACUAUUCUUAGUUCGGAUUGUACUCUGCAACUCGAGUACAUGAAGUUGGAAUCGCUAGUAAUCGCGAAUCAGCAAUGUCGCGGUGAAUACUUUCUCGGGUCUUGUACACACCGCCCGUCACACCACGAGAGUUGGUUGCACCUGAAGUAGCAGGCCUAACCGUAAGGAGGGAUGCUCCGAGGGUGUGAUUAGCGAUUGGGGUGAAGUCGUAACAAGGUAUCCGUACGGGAACGU
RNAcentral lists this ribosomal RNA (303 nucleotides) under uncultured Fusobacterium sp. RNAcentral describes it as "bacterial SSU rRNA". It matches the Rfam family "Bacterial small subunit ribosomal RNA", at positions 1212 to 1513 of the family's 1533-position model. Lineage: Bacteria; Fusobacteriati; Fusobacteriota; Fusobacteriia; Fusobacteriales; Fusobacteriaceae. The record is from RNAcentral.